RNAcentral lists this ribosomal RNA (700 nucleotides) under uncultured bacterium. Its description in RNAcentral is "bacterial SSU rRNA". It matches the Rfam family "Bacterial small subunit ribosomal RNA", at positions 42 to 717 of the family's 1533-position model. The record is from RNAcentral.
UCAGGCCUAACACAUGCAAGUCGAGCGGUAGCAGGAAGUGCUUGCACUUCGCUGACGAGCGGCGGACGGGUGCGUAACACGUAGGAAUCUGCCUGGUAGUGGGGGAUAGCCCGGAGAAAUCCGGAUUAAUACCGCAUACGCCCUACGGGGGAAAGGAGGGGACCCGUUUCUUUUAUAAGAAGCGAGCCUUUCGCUAUCAGAUGAGCCUGCGUCGGAUUAGCUUGUUGGUGGGGUAAAGGCCUACCAAGGCGACGAUCCGUAGCUGGUCUGAGAGGAUGAUCAGCCACACUGGGACUGAGACACGGCCCAGACUCCUACGGGAGGCAGCAGUGGGGAAUAUUGCACAAUGGGCGAAAGCCUGAUGCAGCCAUGCCGCGUGUGUGAAGAAGGCCCUAGGGUUGUAAAGCACUUUCAGUGGGGAGGAAAGGUUGAAGGUUAAUACCCUUCAGCUGUGACGUUACCCACAGAAGAAGCACCGGCUAACUCCGUGCCAGCAGCCGCGGUAAUACGGAGGGUGCGAGCGUUAAUCGGAAUUACUGGGCGUAAAGCGUGCGUAGGCGGCCACCUAAGUUGGAUGUGAAAGCCCCGGGCUCAACCUGGGAACUGCAUCCAAAACUGGGUGGCUAGAGUACGGGAGAGGAGUGUGGAAUUUCCUGUGUAGCGGUGAAAUGCGUAGAUAUAGGAAGGAACACCAGUGGCG